CAGUAGCCGCGGUAAUACGAAGGUCCCGAGCGUUGUUCGGAAUCACUGGGCGUAAAGGGAGCGUAGGCGGCGUGGUAAGUCAGAUGUGAAAUCCCGGGGCUCAACCCCGGAACUGCAUCCGAUACUGCCAUGCUAGAGGAUUGGAGAGGUAGCUGGAAUUCUUGGUGUAGCAGUGAAAUGCGUGGAGAUCAAGAGGAACACUCGUGGCGAAAGCGAGCUACUGGACAAUAACUGACGCUGAGGCUCGAAGGCCAGGGUAGCGAAAGGGAUUAGAUACCCGGGUAGUCCCUGUCUCUUAUAC
Molecule: ribosomal RNA, 301 nt
Filed under: uncultured bacterium
Lineage: Bacteria
Description: partial 16S ribosomal RNA
Rfam family: Bacterial small subunit ribosomal RNA
Source: RNAcentral